AUACUUACCUGGCAGGGGGAGACACUGCACUUGAUCAGAAAGCCCAGUUUCCCACUGGGCUGAGGCACCGUCCAUUACACUCGGCUUGAUGCUGACCUCGCAAUUCCCAAAUGCUUGGGAAUCGACUGCAGGCUAUAGUGAGGUAGGGGACUGCGAUUCGCGCUCUCCCUGA
Small nuclear RNA from Cyprinus carpio (common carp), 172 nucleotides. RefSeq annotates it as U1 spliceosomal RNA. The transcript has a single exon. The record is from RefSeq and is a predicted model, not a curated record. NCBI's taxonomy places the organism in Eukaryota, Metazoa, Chordata, Actinopteri, Cypriniformes, Cyprinidae.